Otolemur garnettii (small-eared galago) is the source of this 107-nucleotide small nuclear RNA. The record is from Ensembl. Lineage: Eukaryota; Metazoa; Chordata; Mammalia; Primates; Galagidae.
GUGCUCACUUCGGCAGCACACAUACUAAAAUUGGAACAAUACAGAGAAGAUUAGCAUAUACCCUGCACAAGGAUGACGUGCAAAUUCGUGAAGCAUUCCAUAUUUUU